RNAcentral lists this ribosomal RNA (1519 nucleotides) under uncultured Bordetella sp. RNAcentral's name for it is "partial 16S-23S ribosomal RNA intergenic spacer". It matches the Rfam family "Bacterial small subunit ribosomal RNA". The record is from RNAcentral. Lineage: Bacteria; Pseudomonadati; Pseudomonadota; Betaproteobacteria; Burkholderiales; Alcaligenaceae.
UUUGAUCAUGGCUCAGAUUGAACGCUGGCGGGAUCCUUUUACACAUGCAAGUCGAACGGCAGCACGGACGGUCUGGUGGCGAGUGGCGAACGGGUGGUAAUGUAUCGGAACGUCCUAGUAGCGGGGGAUAACUACGCGAAAGCGUAGCUAAUACCACAUACGCCCUUCGGGGGAAAGCGGGGACCUUUGGGCCUCGCACUAUUGGAGCGGCCGAUAUCGGAUUGAAAGCUAGUUGGUGGGGUAACGGCUCACCAAGGCGACGAUCCGUAGCUGGUUUGAGAGGACGACCAGCCACACUGGGACUGAGACACGGCCCAGACUCCUACGGGAGGCAGCAGUGGGGAAUUUUGGACAAUGGGGGAAACCCUGAUCCAGCCAUCCCGCGUGUGCGAUGAAGGCCUUCGGGUUGUAAAGCACUUUUGGCAGGAAAGAAACGGCACGGGAUAAUACCCCGUGCAACUGACGGUACCUGCAGAAUAAGCACCGGCUAACUACGUGCCAGCAGCCAUGAUAUAAUACGUAGGGUGCAAGCGUUAAUCGGAAUUACUGGGCGUAAAGCGUGCGCAGGCGGUUCGGAAGAAAAGAUGUGAAAUCCCAGAGCUUAACUUUGGAACUGCAUUUUUAACUACCGAGCUAGAGUGUGUCAGAGGAGGUGGAAUUCCGCGUGUAGCAGUGAAAUGCGUAUGAUAUGCGGAGGAACACCGAUGGCGAAGGCAGCCUCCUGGGAUAACACUGACGCUCAUGCACGAAAGCGUGGGGGAGCAAACAGGAUUAGAUACCCUGGUAGUUCACGCCUAAACGAUGUCAACUAGCUGUUGGGGCCUUCGGGCCUUGGUAGCGCAGCUAACGCGUGAAGUUGACCGCCUGGGGAAGUACAGUCGCAAAGAUUAAAACUCCAAAGGAAUUGACGGGGACCCGCACAAGCGGUGGAUGAUGUGGAUUAAUUCGAUGCAACGCGAAAAACCUUACCUACCCGCUUGACAUGUCUGGAAUCCCGAAGAGAUUUGGGAGUGCUCGCAAAGAGAACCGGAACACAGAGUGCUGCAUGGCUGUCGUCAGCUCGUGUCGUGAGAUGUUGAGUUAAGUCCCGCAAUUUAUCUCAGUUGUUGCCGGUGAUGAUGUUGCGCAACCCUUGUCAUUAGUUGCUACGAAAGGGCAUCUAAUGAGACUGCCGGUGACAAACCGGAGGAAGGUGGGGAUGACGUCAGAGUCCUCAUGGCCCUUAUGGGUAGGGCUUCACACGUCAUACAAUGGUCGGGACAGAGGGUCGCCAACCCGCGAGAGGCCAAUCCCAGAAACCCGAUCGUAGUCCGGAUCAUGAUCUGCAACUCGACUGCGUGAAGUCGGAAUCGCUAGUAAUCGCGGAUCAGCAUGUCGCGGUGAAUACGUUCCCGGGUCUUGUACACACCGCCCGUCACACCAUGGGAGUGGGUUUUACCAGAAGUAGUUAGCCUAACCGUAAGGAGGGCGAUUACACCACGGUAAGUUCAUGACUGGGGUGAAGUCGUAACAAGAGUAG